Long non-coding RNA from Pseudophryne corroboree (corroboree frog), 581 nucleotides. RefSeq lists it as uncharacterized. Lineage: Eukaryota; Metazoa; Chordata; Amphibia; Anura; Myobatrachidae. The transcript is spliced from 3 exons. The record is from RefSeq and is a predicted model, not a curated record.
AGCUGCUGACGUUUCCAGUUUCCAUGCAGGAAGACAGGUAGGAGGAGAUUAUCUGGCAAAGAGAUUUGCAGAAUGUCGGGUGACCGGCAAAGAGAUCUGCAAAGUGUCAGUUGAAGACGACGGGAGGGGUCGCAGAGGAAUUAGUGACUGGAGAAUAGCAUGCAGGAGUGGGUGAUCCCUGAAUAGCUGCCCUGGGAGGAGAGCUGCGGACACAUGCUUCAAAUGUUGGGACAUAUGCAUUUCCUAUUAGGAGAUGCAGUAAAGAUGCCGGCUGUCUGGUUUACGGCAGUCAGAAUAUUGACACUGGGAUCUCGACAAUCCUCAGAAUCCCGACGUUGGAACUCCGAAUGGGCAAGGAUACUCGAUUCCCGUAUCCCCACGAUCAUAGGUUUAGGUCUGGGCAAGGGGGGUUAGUUUAGGCAUCAGGCACGGGGUGUUGGUCAGGCUGCAGGGGAGUGAGGGUUAAGUUUAUGUGUCAGGCAGAGGGGUUAGAUUUAGGCAUCAGGUGGGGGGUUAGGCUGCAGGUGUGGGCAGGUUUGGGUUAGGCUAUGAAUAGGGUGAGUUAGGCACCCUCGGGGGAG